This is a long non-coding RNA of Equus asinus (donkey), 2032 nucleotides long. The record is from Ensembl. NCBI's taxonomy places the organism in Eukaryota, Metazoa, Chordata, Mammalia, Perissodactyla, Equidae.
GUAAUCAAUUUAAGGUGGGGUCAUACUUAAUUAGGGUAGGCUCUUAUAGAAGAGAAGAGCAGGCGCAUGGGGGAACGCCAUGUGAUGCCAGAAGCAGAGAGAGGGGCGAUGAAGCUGUGAGCCAAAGAAUGUCAAGGGCUGAUGCCCACCAGCAGAAGUUGGCAAAAGGCAAAGAAUGAUUCCACUCAGUGUCUCAAAGUUUAGUCCUCAGGUGGCAAAAUACCAGAAUUGGACUGUGACUGAACUAUAACAGGAAGAAGGAACCGCCAGAGAUAGUCCAAUGAAAGUCUUUGGAUUCUUCUUUUGAGGAAAAGAAAUUCCCAGGGACUUAAAUAUGGCCAUGAAUUGUGACGUGCAGAAGGAGGGUUUAUAACAUUCAAGUUUUCCAAACUUAUAUUGGCCCUGAGCUAACAUCUGUGCCCAUCUUCCUCUAUAUUGUAUGUGAGACGUCCCCACAGCAUGGCUUGAUGAGUGGUGUAGGUCUGUGCCUGUGAUCCGGACCCGUGAACCUGGGCCACUGAAGUGGAGCAUGCUGAACUCAGCCACUACACAACCAGCAGGACGGCCCUGUCUUUCUUUCUUUUUUGACUACUUGAUCUGUCAAAAGUUAAGUUCUCCCACAGCUGUUUGUUCCUGUCAAUUUCUUCUUUUAACAGUUUGAACUUAAUUAAUAUUUGACAGUAUGUGAUUUAGUACUUAAAGAUUUUUGACUGUUAUAUCUUUGUUAUGGGCUAUAUCUUUUUAUCAGUAUUAAAAAAAACCCAGUUUUGCUUUUAAUUAUCAUUUAGUUUACCUGAUAAUUGGUGUUAACUUUUUUGAGGUUAUUUUCUUGACCUCCAACUCAGAAGAAACCACGCAAAUGACACCGUGUUCAGGUGAAGAUGAGUUUGGUAGUUACUGCAGUAAGGAGAAAUUCACCUAUGGGUGGAUGUGUAAGGAGUUCUGUGGUUUGGUUUAAAGUGGUCUUCAAUGCGGGAAUCUGAGUAGAUUGUGCAAAGCUUUUGAUGUUAUAGUUUAGGAUUGGUGGACGUGGCCAGAUAAGAGUUUUGAAGCCUUGAUGAGUCAAACAGCUGUUUGAUAACAGAGUUUGCCCAUUGAAGAAAUCUCUUUUCCCGAGAAGAAGGCUGUUCACUCUAAUGCCCUUAGAAGGAGGCAAGUUGAACAGCCUAUUGUUUGGAUAAAUGGAUUUUACGGAGUUCAUGAAACAAAGAGUAAUGUUUUUUAAAACUUUAUAUUCCUGGGCAAGAAUUUACUGGAAUAGUAAAAUCAUUUUAACUUAGGACAGUCAAUUCUUGAUCCUAUUAAAUUUGUGGUUACAGACAGUUUGUUCUCAAUUUGAUAAAUCUUUGCCCAUCUUUUUAAAACAUUUUAAUGCCAUGUUAUUUUAGGUAUGUCUCUUGGAAGCAGCAUGUAUUUAGAUUAUGUCUUUUAACUCAAUUUGAGAAUCUUAGUAUUGUAGUGGAGAAAUAUAAGCUUUUUGUCCUACGUUCAAAUAUUUUAUCUUAAAUCCUUCAUCUGUCUUUUGUAUUUUCUUAGUCUUAUUAAAUGUGGCUGUUUCCUUUAGUUUUACCUUCUCUAGUAAUUGAAAGCUGUAGUCCUCAUCAAUGUUAGUAUAAUAUGAAACUUGCCAUUUUUAACCAAAUACAUGCUACCUUUCAUGUCUCUUCUUUCAGUGAUUAUUUUUGAGAUUUUGUGUUCAACUUUUUACUCCAACAGUUGUUUAAAUUUGUCUUUGUUUAACUAUUCUCAAAGUGUACCAUUUGUGUCUUUAUAUCCUAACUUUCUCAUUCUUGAACUCUUAAUUUUGAUAUCUUUAGGAAAAUAUCAUGAAGGGCACAGAGGGGUUAUAUUUUUGAAUUCUUGUAUAUCUGAGAGUCUUCCCGUUGUUUUAAAAAAUGAAUGACAUUUGGCCAGAACUAAUCAUUAGGUCACAAUUCUUUCUCUGAAAAUUUUCUGUUCAUUAUUUUACUAUUAAGUAAUUUUAGAAAUGUCAGAGUCUACCUGGCUUUUAUUCCUUAGAGGUUAAUCUAUU